AUUCUUCAUUAUUUCAGUAUUUUAUUUUCUCUCUCCUCUCUUUCUCAGUUCCUCUUUAACUCUUUGUCUUGUUUCUUCAGCCUUACUGUUUCAUUCUCUGUCUCUCUUUCCUUUUCUUAUUUUUCUUUCACCAUUUGUUUUGUUUCUUUAACUAUUUCUUCAGUCUCAGCUUUCAGUUAGAUUUUCUCAGUUCAUAAGUUUAUCUUAAUUCUCUGUUCUCGGUAUUCUUUGACUCUUUCUCCCUUAUUUAGUUUAUCUUAAUUCUCUCAGUUUAUCUUAAGUCUCCGUCUUCAGUCUUAUCAUUACUUUAUCUUUGCUCUUUCUUCAGUUUCCAAGGUGUCUUGUUGUUUCUUCUUUUACUAUUUCUUAAGUUUUUUUCUCUUCCGCCAAUCCUUUUCUUCUUCCUUUUUUCAUUACCCAAGCAGUCUCUUUCUUCAUUCAUCUCCGCCCUUAUUAAUUUCCAGUCCUUAUUUUUUUCUGCAGUUUAGUCUUUUUCAUUUUGUCUUGUCUAUGUUAGCAUUUUUCUCGGUUGCUCUGUGUCUCUUAGUCUCUUAGUUUCUCAUUGUAGUGCUGAUGUAUUAUCUGAGUAAGUAUUCGGCUGGUGGCAUACAAGUGAUAUCCUAUUUAGGUGUUUGGCCGAAUAAAUUUGCAUGUAUUUUCCCUGUGUCCGCACAUGUUGGAUGAGGUGUUUGGGCCCGUUUUGAUCAUAGUAUACUGAGGAGGUGGAAGAAGCCAGUGGAUUCGGCGCGGACUUGUAUGGAGGGCAGAACAAGAGACCAUAGAAGGCUGGUCAAGCUGAUGUUCAACUCAAGAGACCAUAGGAUGAACAAGCUGAUGAUUCAACUCAAUUGUCUUCUCUUUCUUUAGUUUUUGUCACUCUUUCUUGUUAUUGGUUUUCAAGUAUAGGUGUUUGUUUCUUGAGCUAAUUCUGUUUUGGUCAUUCCUUUCUUCUUCUUUCUUUAUUACAGGCUUCAAUUCUCUCAUUUCCCCUUUCUCUCAAUACUCUGUCUUCUUCUUUCCUCACUCCUAUUGUUUUUCUAUCACUCUUUUCUUACGCUAUCUAUAUUGUACACAUAUUUUACAUGAACUAUGCAAAUUCAGUAGAAUUUUGUUGCCGCUUCCAAUGGAUUUAGGUUAAACUGAAACUGUCAGGCAACUUACAGUUUAGUGUAGCUUCCAAUGAAUUCAUUUGCUUGUUGCUAGCUUAAUUUACAUGCAUGUCUGAAUGUACUUUUGUCUUACAGCAUAGAGUUUCUGACAUAGGGAAUUGUGGUGUGAGUCUGAACGCAAUUGUUUCUUACUGGUAGGAUGUUUUCUUGCAUCGGACUGCUACUCCUUUAGAAGAUAUUUUCAAGUCCAUUCUCUGGUAUGUAUCUCAUUGUGCGUGUAUGUUUGGUGCAGUCUGGUGUAGUGGAGGUAGACCCUAAUAAACUUGGAAGCUGAUGUAAUCACAGUAUAGGUUCUUAGCACUCGACAUUUACAUGAUUAAUGCCUAGAGAUCACAAGCCGAAAAGUUCAGCUAAAUGAAAUCUUCAGUUCUCAUGUUUUCUAUUUGUUUUCUAAUACUUGACCAUUUUUGCUGCAGUAAAAAUAGGCAUGGACAUACAAAGGGGAGAGGUUACCUAUCUACUUGCUUGAUCAAGACAGAGCUAGAAGAGAGAUAAGAGUGAAAAGUGGGGGACAUUCUAUGCUAUGCUUUACGAGAUCCAAAGGUGUGGUGGCUGCUGUCAUCUUUGCGUGUCCAGGAAGAAGAGAGACGUGUGGCUGUGUGGGGCAGUUGAGGGCCAAGAUAUACAAGGCCCAAUUUUCUAUUUUUUUUGUAAAGCCGAAAAGUACCUAUAUGCAGCCAUCCUGUUUAAGACUGAACUGAUUGGGAGCUGGUUAUUCGCGGUCAAAAAACAAAGCAAAAAAAACCAGACUUAAUGAUAAUGAACGGAUUGAUUU
Molecule: non-coding RNA, 1944 nt
Organism: Lolium perenne
Lineage: Eukaryota; Viridiplantae; Streptophyta; Magnoliopsida; Poales; Poaceae
Source: RefSeq, a predicted model, not a curated record